This 845-nucleotide ribosomal RNA is filed under the name uncultured bacterium. RNAcentral's name for it is "bacterial SSU rRNA". It matches the Rfam family "Bacterial small subunit ribosomal RNA", at positions 22 to 857 of the family's 1533-position model. The record is from RNAcentral. RNAcentral also lists the same sequence under 1 other name.
GCUCAGGAUGAACGCUAGCUACAGGCUUAACACAUGCAAGUCGAGGGGAAACGACAUCGAAAGCUUGCUUUUGAUGGGCGCCGACCGGCGCACGGGUGAGUAACGCGUAUCCAACCUGCCCACCACUUGGGGAUAACCUUGCGAAAGUAAGACUAAUACCCAAUGAUAUCUCUAAAAGACAUCUGAAAGAGAUUAAAGAUUUAUCGGUGAUGGAUGGGGAUGCGUCUGAUUAGCUUGUUGGCGGGGUAACGGCCCACCAAGGCAACGAUCAGUAGGGGUUCUGAGAGGAAGGUCCCCCACAUUGGAACUGAGACACGGUCCAAACUCCUACGGGAGGCAGCAGUGAGGAAUAUUGGUCAAUGGACGAGAGUCUGAACCAGCCAAGUAGCGUGCAGGAUGACGGCCCUAUGGGUUGUAAACUGCUUUUAUAAGGGAAUAAAGUGAGUCUCGUGAGACUUUUUGCAUGUACCUUAUGAAUAAGGACCGGCUAAUUCCGUGCCAGCAGCCGCGGUAAUACGGAAGGUCCGGGCGUUAUCCGGAUUUAUUGGGUUUAAAGGGAGCGUAGGCCGGAGAUUAAGCGUGUUGUGAAAUGUAGACGCUCAACGUCUGCACUGCAGCGCGAACUGGUUUCCUUGAGUACGCACAAAGUGGGCGGAAUUCGUGGUGUAGCGGUGAAAUGCUUAGAUAUCACGAAGAACUCCGAUUGCGAAGGCAGCUCACUGGAGCGCAACUGACGCUGAAGCUCGAAAGUGCGGGUAUCGAACAGGAUUAGAUACCCUGGUAGUCCGCACGGUAAACGAUGGAUGCCCGCUGUUGGUCUGAAUAGGUCAGCGGCCAAGCGAAAG